AUUCAGCAAUGGAUCUUAGUGGCGAACGGGUGAGUAACGCGUAGGCAAUCUGCCUUCUAGAUGGGGACAACAUCCCGAAAGGGGUGCUAAUACCGAAUGUUGUAAUUGGUUCGCAUGGACUAGCUACUAAAGGUGGCCUCUGAAUAUGCUACCGCUAGAAGAUGAGCCUGCGUCUGAUUAGCUAGUUGGAGGGGUAACGGCCCACCAAGGCUUCGAUCAGUAGCCGGUCUGAGAGGAUGAACGGCCACACUGGGACUGAGACACGGCCCAGACUCCUACGGGAGGCAGCAGUGGGGAAUCUUCCGCAAUGGACGAAAGUCUGACGGAGCAACGCCGCGUGAGUGAAGAAGGUUUUCGGAUCGUAAAGCUCUUUCGUUAGGGACGAACGUGCUCUUUGUGAAUAAUGAGGAGUAAUGACGGUACCUAAAUAAGAAGCCACGGCUAACUACGUGCCAGCAGCCGCGGUAAUACGUAGGUGGCAAGCGUUGUCCGGAAUUAUUG
RNAcentral lists this ribosomal RNA (501 nucleotides) under uncultured Anaeromusa sp. RNAcentral's name for it is "partial 16S ribosomal RNA". It matches the Rfam family "Bacterial small subunit ribosomal RNA", at positions 74 to 556 of the family's 1533-position model. Lineage: Bacteria; Bacillati; Bacillota; Negativicutes; Selenomonadales; Sporomusaceae. The record is from RNAcentral.